UUGAACGCUGGCGGAAUGCUUUACACAUGCAAGUCGAGCGGCAGCGCGGGGCAACCUGGCGGCGAGCGGCGAACGGGUGAGUAAUAUAUCGGAACGUACCCUGUCGUGGGGGAUAACACAUCGAAAGAUGUGCUAAUACCGCAUACGACCUGAGGGUGAAAGCGGGGGAUCGCAAGACCUCGCGCGAUAGGAGCGGCCGAUAUCGGAUUAGCUAGUUGGUGAGGUAAAGGCUCACCAAGGCGACGAUCCGUAGCUGGUCUGAGAGGACGACCAGCCACACUGGAACUGAGACACGGUCCAGACUCCUACGGGAGGCAGCAGUGGGGAAUUUUGGACAAUGGGGGAAACCCUGAUCCAGCCAUUCCGCGUGAGUGAAGAAGGCCUUCGGGUUGUAAAGCUCUUUCAGCCGGGAAGAAAAUGUACGGGCUAAUACCCUGUGCAGAUGACGGUACCGGCAUAAGAAGCACCGGCUAACUACGU
Molecule: ribosomal RNA, 480 nt
Filed under: uncultured bacterium
Lineage: Bacteria
Description: bacterial SSU rRNA
Rfam family: Bacterial small subunit ribosomal RNA
Source: RNAcentral